Molecule: long non-coding RNA, 1604 nt
Organism: Bombus pascuorum
Lineage: Eukaryota; Metazoa; Arthropoda; Insecta; Hymenoptera; Apidae
Exons: 3
Source: RefSeq, a predicted model, not a curated record
AGCGUGAACGUAACGAUCAUGUAUUCGGUACGCGGCAGCACUCGAGUUCCCACAAGAAAAACGGAGCUUUUGCAACGCGAGCGAAAUCGGCCGGUUAGUCGACUGGCUGGCUGUGUUGGCUGGUCGUUCAGCAGCUGCAGAAAAGCGUAUCGUGUUCUCCACGAGGUGUCUUGCUUUGCCGGGAUUUUAUCGCGUGGCCCCCUUCGUGGCGUUAUACCCUGUGCUCGCUUUGUUCGCUCUGGUGCACGCGCACGAGCCGCCGUUGCCCUCUCUGUCUUACUGUGAUCUAGGCUAACCGCGUUCGACGUCCCUCGUAAGUAGGAGCAUAACCCCAUCGCUGUAACGUACCACGGUACCAUCGUCAUCUCGAGUAUCGCUACUACCGUGCCACCAAUACGCUGCAGCGUGACAAGUACUUCCAACCACACGCUCCUUCUUUCGUUAUCGAGUAAUGAAGCGUUCGAACAUCGAAUUUAAAGGUACAAAAUGAAAGGAGAAAACAGGAUUACUCUUCCGUAGCAAACUACAUGAGCUCGUUGCAACAUCCAUAACAAGCAGAGCAGGAUACGAGAGAGCUUCUGAGAGAUUCAGUAAUCAGUCGCAACAUUGUUGCCCGGUUUCGGGCAGAAAACCAGCGAGAAAGUACAGAAGAAGGAAUCGAGGCCACUUGUCGGUCGUCGAGCGUGGAAAUUCGAACGAGGGUAAUGGAAAAUCGUGAUAAUGAGCACGGCGAAGGAGGACAGGAGAGGAGAGGAAUGCGAGGAGUAAGACAUUAGAAAGAUAAGAUAGAAGAGCGAGAUGAAGAAAAUGGAAAGAGAGAGAGAGAGAAAGAGAAAAUGAUAGAUCUUCUCAAGCGAUGCGACCCUGUUUCUAAACGGCGCACUCUGUAUUUGCAUAACUCACAAAUACCAUCGAGGCUGCUUCAAGAUCGCUCGUAAAUCAUCAACGCCACGGGGAUGCUCCGUUUUCAUUAUCGAAAUCCUGGAAAAUUAAAGAAGUUGGGCCGUAUCGUUUCGCUCGCAUUGAUAAGACAACGCGUUCCGUUUAGUGGGACGCGGUAAACACGUAAUCGAGAAUUAAUGUUUCUUCUUGGCUGGUUCUGUAAUACUUUUCUUUUUCAUUGUAUGAAUUUUCUCUUUAGCGGCUAAUAAAUGAAUUUGAAAUUAUACUAUUACAACGUAAUAAGAUAAUUAUCGAUCAAACUGCCUAGAUUAUAAUAAUUAGACUGCGGAUUGUAAAAUGCACACAAUAUGCAAAAUGGUUUGAAAUAUCCAAGAUACAGAUUCUCGAGUACAUUCUUUUCGAGGUCUAAAAUAUUUCCAAAAUAUAAAUUUGCGUAAAUGUCCGCGAUGUAAUAAUAAUCAAAUAAUAUGAAGUUUUACAGUGGAAUUGUCAUAACAGCGAUACCAGUAAUUAAGCGUUAAUCAAGGUAUUCGUCGUCUAAAUCGAACCAUAAUCAGUUUAAAAUUCCUUCUAACCUGGGAUCAAAUUUUUCGCCUCGUAUCUAGAACAAAUCAAUUAUGCAAAGAACAUCGUAGUUUCCAUGUCCGGAUUCAUCCACAGCCGAGCAAAUACCAAUCGACUGUUACACGCCCAAUUCUACU